CAGCCUGCCCAGUGACUACGGGUUCAACGGCCGCGGUAUUUUGACCGUGCAAAGGUAGCGCAAUCACUUGUCUCUUAAAUAGAGACCUGUAUGAAUGGCUAGACGAGGGCUUAACUGUCUCCCCCUUCCAGUCAGUGAAAUUGAUCUACCCGUGCAGAAGCGGGUAUAAUAAUACAAGACGAGAAGACCCUUUGGAGCUUAAGGUACAAGAUUCAACCACGUUAAACGACUCGAUAGAAAGCACGAACUUAGUGGUGACUGGAAUUUUACCUUCGGUUGGGGCGACCACGGAGGAAAGAGAAUCCUCCGAGUGGACUGGGCCAAACCCUAAAGCCAAUAGAUACGUCUAUAAGCCGCAGAACAUCUGACCAAAAAUGAUCCGACUGAAAAGCCGAUCAACGAACCAAGUUACCCUAGGGAUAACAGCGCAAUCCUCUCCCAGAGUCCAUAUCGACGAGGGGGUUUACGACCUCGAUGUUGGAUCAGGACAUCCUAAUGGUGCAGCCGCUAU
Molecule: ribosomal RNA, 511 nt
Filed under: Telestes souffia (vairone)
Lineage: Eukaryota; Metazoa; Chordata; Actinopteri; Cypriniformes; Leuciscidae
Description: partial 16S ribosomal RNA
Rfam family: Bacterial large subunit ribosomal RNA
Source: RNAcentral